This 682-nucleotide ribosomal RNA is filed under the name uncultured bacterium. RNAcentral's name for it is "bacterial SSU rRNA". It matches the Rfam family "Bacterial small subunit ribosomal RNA", at positions 64 to 761 of the family's 1533-position model. The record is from RNAcentral.
UCAUUGAGACUUCGGUGGAUUUGAUCUAUUUCUAGUGGCGGACGGGUGAGUAACGCGUGGGUAACCUGCCUUAUACAGGGGGAUAACAGUCAGAAAUGGCUGCUAAUACCGCAUAAGCGCACAGAGCUGCAUGGCUCAGUGUGAAAAACUCCGGUGGUAUGAGAUGGACCCGCGUUGGAUUAGCUAGUUGGCAGGGUAACGGCCUACCAAGGCGACGAUCCAUAGCCGGCCUGAGAGGGUGGACGGCCACAUUGGGACUGAGACACGGCCCAGACUCCUACGGGAGGCAGCAGUGGGGAAUAUUGCACAAUGGGGGAAACCCUGAUGCAGCGACGCCGCGUGAGCGAAGAAGUAUUUCGGUAUGUAAAGCUCUAUCAGCAGGGAAGAAAAUGACGGUACCUGACUAAGAAGCACCGGCUAACUACGUGCCAGCAGCCGCGGUAAUACGUAGGGGGCAAGCGUUAUCCGGAUUUACUGGGUGUAAAGGGAGCGUAGACGGAAUGGCAAGUCUGAUGUGAAAGGCCGGGGCUCAACCCCGGGACUGCAUUGGAAACUGUCAAUCUAGAGUACCGGAGGGGUAAGUGGAAUUCCUAGUGUAGCGGUGAAAUGCGUAGAUAUUAGGAGGAACACCAGUGGCGAAGGCGGCUUACUGGACGGUAACUGACGUUGAGGCUCGAAAGCG